Molecule: ribosomal RNA, 459 nt
Filed under: uncultured bacterium
Lineage: Bacteria
Description: partial 16S ribosomal RNA
Rfam family: Bacterial small subunit ribosomal RNA
Source: RNAcentral
CUACGGGUCGCUGCAGUGAGGAAUAUUGGACAAUGGGCGAGAGCCUGAUCCAGCCAUGCCGCGUGCAGGAAGACUGCCCUAUGGGUUGUAAACUGCUUUUAUACGGGAAGAAACACCGCUACGUGUAGCGGCUUGACGGUACCGUAAGAAUAAGGAUCGGCUAACUCCGUGCCAGCAGCCGCGGUAAUACGGAGGAUCCAAGCGUUAUCCGGAAUCAUUGGGUUUAAAGGGUCCGUAGGUGGAUAAUUAAGUCAGAGGUGAAAUCCUGCAGCUCAACUGUAGAAUUGCCUUUGAUACGGGUUGUCUUGAGUUAUUAUGAAGUAGUUAGAAUAUGUAGUGUAGCGGUGAAAUGCAUAGAUAUUACAUAGAAUACCAAUUGCGAAGGCAGAUUACUAAUAAUGAACUGACACUGAUGGACGAAAGCGUGGGGAGCGAACAGGAUUAGAUACCCCAGUAGUC